GUUUCUUUGUUCCAGGGUCAUUUUAAAGAGGCUACACACAUGGUAAUAAGCUCCACCCACUUGGCUUCAGGUUUCAUCCCCCAAAGAAAAACACCUC
Thalassophryne amazonica is the source of this 97-nucleotide long non-coding RNA. RefSeq lists it as uncharacterized. The transcript has 3 exons. Lineage: Eukaryota; Metazoa; Chordata; Actinopteri; Batrachoidiformes; Batrachoididae. The record is from RefSeq and is a predicted model, not a curated record.